GUUAUUAUUAUUGUUGCUGGAUAGGACAGAGAGAAAUGGAGAGAGGAGGGGAUGGCAGAGAGGAGGAGAGAAAGACAGACACCUGCAGACCUGCUUCACCGCUUGUGAAGUGACUCCCCUGCAGGUGGGGAGCCGGGGGCUCGAACCUGGAUCCUUACACCGGUCCUUGCGGUUUGCGCCACAUGCGCACCCGCUGCGCUACCGCCCAACCCCCUCCCCUUCUUUUUCUUUUCUUUUCUUUUCUUUUCUUUUCUUUUCUUUUCUUUUCUUUUCUUUUCUUUUCUUUUCCUUUUCCCAUUCCCUUUUCUUUCUUUUUUCUUCUUUUCUUCCUUUUUUCGUUCCUCCUUCCUCUCCUCCCUCUCUCUUUCCUUCCUUUCCUCUUUCUUUGUUUUGUCUGUCUUUCCCACCCUCCAAUCCCCCCCCUUACUUUCCAGGAUUUUCUCAUCCCAGUCAUUGCUAAAGUCCAGUAGAGAGGCCUAUCACUUGCAUUCCAGAAGAACUGAUUAUUAUUCACGCCGCCAGAGGACAGGGAGGACCAGGUGUGAGGCCAGAGGGCUGGCGAUUCCACCCAGGAGACCCCAGCCUGGCCUCCUGACUUCCGAGCUCAGUGAUCCCGUCACUGAGGCUUGUGCCAUGAAGCUCCCAGUGGAAAUUCUGGACACCAGACCCCCGUGUCUGCAGGAUGCACUGAGUGAUAACAAGGAAGAGGAAGCACACAGGGCAUAUUGAGACGUCAUCGAGAAAGAAAGUGGCCCUACAGAACAAAUACGAGGUCUUUGUGAGAAAAGAAAACCAUUAAGCCCACGCCUUUUUGAAGAGGGGAACUGGCCAGCUGGGUUGGCUGAGCUGUCCGAAAGCUUUGGUGUUAUAAUCACCUGCUACUUUCAUGCCGGGAAGAAGAGCAGCCUCACCAUCAAGGGCAGGCCCUCUGGAGAGCAGAGGAACUCUACAGGCAUGAAGGCGCAGCAAUGACCCGAUGGCAAAGUAAGUAAAUAAACCAGGCAUUUUAAGAUGAUCAAGUGAGCUCUUCGAAAUGAAAACCAUUAAGAUUCAGCCUCAACAGAAGGUUGAGAAGUCAGAAAGAGGAAAUGCUCAAGGAAGCAGAAUAAGAAAAAGAGGCAGACAAAAGAAUAAAAGCAGGAAGAAAAUUUGUGGGUUGGGGGCCAGGUGGGUUACGUGCACAUAAUACAAAGUGUAAGGACCCACUCAGGGAUCCUGGUUCAAGCCCCCAGCUCCCACCUGCAGGGGAGUUGCUUCACAGGUGGUGAAGCUGGCCUGCAGGUGUCUUUCUCUCUUCCUCUCUAUCUUAUCCUACUCUCUCAAUUUCUAUCUGUCCUAUCUUAUUAAAAAAAAAUGGAAAAAGUGGCCUGCAGGAGCAGUGAAUUUGUAGUACUGGCACUGAGCCCUGCUGAUAACCCUAGAGGCAAAAAAGAAACAAAGAGAAAAAGAAAGAAAAUUAGUGGGUCAGAUUUGAAGGUCAGACCUUUCAAUUUCAUUCCACACACCCCUCCCUCACCUCCUCUGCUGAACUCAAUUUUACUUUCUGAGGGGAAAAAGAGUGGUUGAGAAAUCAUUAUUAUUUCAAUGCUUAAAACAUAUGGAAACUUUCUCUUUCUUCCCCAGUAGAGUCUAGUAAACUAUGCUUAUGAGGGAAUACGCAAAUAUCCAAUCAAGAUUAGCAAUGACAUCUAGAACAUGUCUCCUGAGUGCCCAUGUCUCUCUCUUACAGAACAUGGUUCAA
Erinaceus europaeus (western European hedgehog) is the source of this 1741-nucleotide long non-coding RNA. RefSeq lists it as uncharacterized. The transcript is spliced from 4 exons. The record is from RefSeq and is a predicted model, not a curated record. NCBI's taxonomy places the organism in Eukaryota, Metazoa, Chordata, Mammalia, Eulipotyphla, Erinaceidae.